AGAAUCAACGCUGGCGGCGUGCCUAACACAUGCAAGUCGAACGCGAAAGGGGAGCAAUCCCUGAGUAGAGUGGCAAACGGGUGAGUAACACGUGGGUGACCUGCCUUCGAGUGGGGGAUAACGUCCCGAAAGGGACGCUAAUACCGCAUGACAUCCUGUCUUUGGACAGACGGAGAUCAAAGCUGGGGAUCGCAAGACCUGGCGCUCGAAGAGGGGCCCGCGCCUGAUUAGCUAGUUGGUGAGGUAACGGCUCACCAAGGCUACGAUC
This 268-nucleotide ribosomal RNA is filed under the name uncultured soil bacterium. RNAcentral's name for it is "partial 16S ribosomal RNA". It matches the Rfam family "Bacterial small subunit ribosomal RNA", at positions 26 to 281 of the family's 1533-position model. The record is from RNAcentral.